AAGUCGUAACAAGGUUUCCGUAUCCUUCUGAGAUAUCUAUAGAAGCCUAGCACCACGACUCUAAAUAAAGUGCAAGUUUUGAUUUUUAGCAAUCAAAGCAAUACCUCUAAAUUGCUGGAAUUAUCCAUUUGGGAUAUCAGCAGCCUCACUUUAUUCAUAUAUAAAAGUGUGGUUCACAGAUCAAAUUGAGGAAUCAAAUUCGUUUGAUAAAGAUAUGACCGUGUCGUAUCCCUCUAAAGGGAUAUAGACUGUACCUGCACCCUAGCCUCCGGUUUGCAGUUACAGUCGGAAGAACGUUCCGUGGUGAACCUGCGGAAGGAUCAUUACUGAGAUAGGGUUCUUUUGAGCCCGACCUCCAACCCUUUGUUUAAACUACUUUGUUGCUUUGGCAGGCCCGCUAUUCGGGGCCGCUGGGGGCGUUUAGUCGCCUCUGGUCCGUGCUUGCCAGUAGCCAAUUUAAAUUCUUUUUAACUAUGUCGUCUGAAUAAUAAUUAUAAAUUUAAUUAAAA
This 509-nucleotide unclassified non-coding RNA is filed under the name plant metagenome. RNAcentral describes it as "partial contains small subunit ribosomal RNA and internal transcribed spacer 1". The record is from RNAcentral.